AACGAACGCUGGCGGCAGGCCUAACACAUGCAAGUCGAGCGAGAUCUUCGGGUCUAGCGGCGGACGGGUGAGUAACGCGUGGGAAUAUGCCCUUCUCUGCGGAAUAGCCUCGGGAAACUGAGCGUAAUACCGCAUACGCCCUUUGGGGGAAAGAUUUAUCGGAGAAGGAUUAGCCCGCGUUGGAUUAGGUAGUUGGUGGGGUAACGGCCUACCAAGCCGACGAUCCAUAGCUGGUUUGAGAGGAUGAUCAGCCACACUGGGACUGAGACACGGCCCAGACUCCUACGGGAGGCAGCAGUGGGGAAUCUCAGACAAUGGGGGCAACCCUGAUCUAGCCAUGCCGCGUGAGUGAUGAAGGCCUUAGGGUUGUAAAGCUCUUUCAGCUGGGAAGAUAAUGACGGUACCAGCAGAAGAAGCCCCGGCUAACUCCGUG
This 433-nucleotide ribosomal RNA is filed under the name uncultured bacterium. RNAcentral's name for it is "partial 16S ribosomal RNA". It matches the Rfam family "Bacterial small subunit ribosomal RNA", at positions 29 to 507 of the family's 1533-position model. The record is from RNAcentral.